UACGUAGGGGGCUAGCGUUGUCCGGAAUCAUUGGGCGUAAAGGGCGCGUAGGCGGCCGAUUAAGUCGGGGGUGAAAGCCUGUGGCUCAACCACAGAAUUGCCUUCGAUACUGGUUGGCUUGAGACCGGAAGAGGACAGCGGAACUGCGAGUGUAGAGGUGAAAUUCGUAGAUAUUCGCAAGAACACCAGUGGCGAAGGCGGCUGUCUGGUCCGGUUCUGACGCUGAGGCGCGAAAGCGUGGGGAGCAAACAGG
RNAcentral lists this ribosomal RNA (253 nucleotides) under uncultured bacterium. RNAcentral's name for it is "partial 16S ribosomal RNA". It matches the Rfam family "Bacterial small subunit ribosomal RNA", at positions 524 to 776 of the family's 1533-position model. The record is from RNAcentral.